GAUGAACGCUGGCGGCGUGCUUAACACAUGCAAGUCGAACGGGAAUUAUUUUAUUGAGACUUCGGUCGAUUUAAUUUAAUUCUAGUGGCGGACGGGUGAGUAACGCGUGGGUAACCUGCCUUAUACAGGGGGAUAACAGUCAGAAAUGGCUGCUAAUACCGCAUAAGCGCACAGAGCUGCAUGGCUCAGUGUGAAAAACUCCGGUGGUAUAAGAUGGACCCGCGUUGGAUUAGCUGGUUGGUGGGGUAACGGCCCACCAAGGGGACGAUCCAUAGCCGGCCUGGGAGGGUGAACGGCCACAUUGGGACUGAGACACGGCCCAGACUCCUACGGGAGGCAGCAGUGGGGAAUAUUGCACAAUGGGGGAAACCCUGAUGCAGCGACGCCGCGUGAAGGAAGAAGUAUCUCGGUAUGUAAACUUCUAUCAGCAGGGAAGAUAGUGACGGUACCUGACUAAGAAGCCCCGGCUAACUACGUG
Molecule: ribosomal RNA, 478 nt
Filed under: uncultured bacterium
Lineage: Bacteria
Description: partial 16S ribosomal RNA
Rfam family: Bacterial small subunit ribosomal RNA
Source: RNAcentral